Molecule: ribosomal RNA, 508 nt
Filed under: uncultured bacterium
Lineage: Bacteria
Description: partial 16S ribosomal RNA
Rfam family: Bacterial small subunit ribosomal RNA
Source: RNAcentral
AUUGAACGCUGGCGGCAGGCCUAACACAUGCAAGUCGAGCGGCAGCGGGAAAGUAGCUUGCUACUUUUGCCGGCGAGCGGCGGACGGGUGAGUAAUGCCUGGGGAUCUGCCCAGUCGAGGGGGAUAACUACUGGAAACGGUAGCUAAUACCGCAUACGCCCUACGGGGGAAAGCAGGGGACCUUCGGGCCUUGCGCGAUUGGAUGAACCCAGGUGGGAUUAGCUAGUUGGUGAGGUAAUGGCUCACCAAGGCGACGAUCCCUAGCUGGUCUGAGAGGAUGAUCAGCCACACUGGAACUGAGACACGGUCCAGACUCCUACGGGAGGCAGCAGUGGGGAAUAUUGCACAAUGGGGGAAACCCUGAUGCAGCCAUGCCGCGUGUGUGAAGAAGGCCUUCGGGUUGUAAAGCACCUUCAGCGAAGAGGAAAGGUUGGUAGCUAAUAACUGCCAGCUGUGACGUUACUCGCAGAAGAAGCACCGGCUAACUCCGUGCCAGCCGCCGCAGUAA